CAGUCGCCGCGGUAACACCGAGGGUGCGAGCGUUAAUCGGAUUUACUGGGCGUAAAGCGUGCGUAGGCGGCUUUUUAAGUCGGAUGUGAAAUCCCUGAGCUUAACUUAGGAAUUGCAUUCGAUACUGGGAAGCUAGAGUAUGGGAGAGGAUGGUAGAAUUCCAGGUGUAGCGGUGAAAUGCGUAGAGAUCUGGAGGAAUACCGAUGGCGAAGGCAGCCAUCUGGCCUAAUACUGACGCUGAGGUACGAAAGCAUGGGGAGCAAACAGGAUUAGAUACCCCCGUAGUCCCUGUCUCUUAUAC
This 301-nucleotide ribosomal RNA is filed under the name uncultured bacterium. Its description in RNAcentral is "partial 16S ribosomal RNA". It matches the Rfam family "Bacterial small subunit ribosomal RNA", at positions 509 to 807 of the family's 1533-position model. The record is from RNAcentral.